UAUUGCUGAGUUUAUUUUCUUAGUGUUUGUUGUGAGUUCCUAGUGGUGUCUACAGCUUGUGGGAAAGCUGAUCUACCUCUCGAAUAGUAGAUCAAUUGUAUCUUGCUUUAUUAUUGAAGGAAAAAUAAGAAAAUCAGUUAUAUCUUUGUGUUCUUAUACUGUUCUUCUCUUUUAUUUAUUGUUUUUAUUUCUAAGUGAUUCAUAUCGGAUCUUCGCCAAAACACAAUUAUUCCGCUGUUUUCAAUAGAAAACAACCACCAAACAAUGGAAAAACUGAGAAAAUAGGGAGAAAACGUUGGGAAAACAAUAGUAACAAUUGUAUUCCACUAGUAGACAAACAAAACCAAAGCAAGAUACAAUGUUCUUCAAUUCGAGAGGAAGAACAACUCUCCAACAAUCUCCGGCAACGCCAAGAGCCCAAGCAAGAAAACC
Molecule: long non-coding RNA, 432 nt
Organism: Dendrobium catenatum
Lineage: Eukaryota; Viridiplantae; Streptophyta; Magnoliopsida; Asparagales; Orchidaceae
Exons: 2
Source: RefSeq, a predicted model, not a curated record